GCCUUCGUAGAUCAUGAUAAUCACCUCGCUUGCAUAGGACAUCCUAGAUAAGUACAUGUAACGAAGAGAAGGAGGUUCGAUUCCUCCCGAAGGCC
Molecule: non-coding RNA, 95 nt
Organism: Mycena epipterygia
Lineage: Eukaryota; Fungi; Basidiomycota; Agaricomycetes; Agaricales; Mycenaceae
Source: the annotation of a GenBank genome assembly